Molecule: long non-coding RNA, 2725 nt
Organism: Dendrobium catenatum
Lineage: Eukaryota; Viridiplantae; Streptophyta; Magnoliopsida; Asparagales; Orchidaceae
Exons: 3
Source: RefSeq, a predicted model, not a curated record
CAUCGCAAGGCCGCCGUUUUAUGUGACCAAACCAUCUAAGGCGACUUUCUCUAAUCUUAUCUUCUACUGGAGCUACUCCAACCUUUACACUCAUCCACUCAUGCACCCUUAUAUAUAUUUUUAUUUUUUUUUAUAAAUUUGUCAUUUGCCCCCACUGAGAAUUAAAACUGAUUCAGCCCCUGCUUGCAUCCAUCAUUAUAAACACAAUGAUAGGCCUCAUUGAUUAUAAAGCGGCUAUUCUCAUCUGGAAGAUUGAUAAGUUGGAUUUCAUUGCCUGCAUGGGAGCAUUUUUUGGUGUAGUUUUUGUUAGUGUUGAGAUUGGACUUCUAAUUGCAGUAAGAACUAGUUGUUCUUCUCUUCAUGACAGCUGCUGCUUGGCAGAAGCCAAUAUCUAAGUUUGUCAAUUUGUUGAUGCAGGUCUCAAUAUUAUUUGCUAAAAUUCUUCUUCAAGCACUAGACCAAGAAUUGUUCUACUUGGCAAUCUUUCAAGGACUACUAUUUAUAGGAAUAUCCAACAAUAUCCUGAGGCUGCAAGAGUUCCUGGAUUUGUAAUUGUUAGAGUUGAUUGUGCUAUCCAUUUCUCCAACUCCAACUAUGUCAGGGAGAGGAUCCUUAGGUGGUUUUGUGGUUAAGGGAUGAGGAAGAACAGCUGCAAGAGAAAAACAUACCACAAACCGAGUUCUUGAUAGUUGAAAUGUCCCGUAAGUGAAAAACUCAUUCACUCAUCACUGACAUCGACACCAGUGGCAUCCAUGCCUUUGAGGAUCUAUACAAGAGCCUCAAAAAGAGAGAUAUAGAGCUCCUCAUUGCAAAUCCCGGGCCAGUAGUACUGGAGAAGUUCGAAGCUUCCAAGUUUACAGAGUUAAUAGGCAGUGGAAAUAUCUUCUUGACGGUCGGUGAAGCUGUACUGAACUUCUCCAAAAAAGCUAGUGAAGAGGCUUGAAGAAGAGUAAGAGUUUAUGAUAGAGGAAUGUUUCAGGUAUCAGUGUUGUGAGCUUGUAAUUUAAAGAGGCAGGGUGCGCUGUCCUCAUUAUCCUUUUUUUUAGCGAAUUUUCCGAUUACAUUUAUACAGUAUCCUUAAAUAAAUAUAGAUGUAGUAUGAAUAAUGGUAUUAUAUGGUGGGCAACUUAUCAUUAUUUUGAAAUAUAUAACAUGUUUGUGGAGGUUAUGUUAUUAAAGCCAUGUCAAUGCUGCAGAUGUAUGUAUGGCAUUCCAUUUUUUUGACAUCAUCAUCAUACAUAUAUCUUUAGAUCAACAUUAUUUUUUAGUAUUUUCAAGUAUCAAGAUUUUUAUAUUUUGUUGUUGUAAGGAAACAGAUUAAGGCUCUUUCUCAAUAAAUUACAAAAAUCUUAUUAUUUUUGGGUGUGCCAAAGGCUUCGUUUGAAACAACUUUCUUACUACUUUCAAAAACAAUUUUUUAGUACAAAAAUUUCGUGAACUAAAAAUUUUGUACUAAGAAGCUGAUUUAGAAAGUUGUCCCAACAAAACCUAAAUGAAUGAACUUAAAUAUUCGGCAGUAAAAAAUAUAUUAAUUUUAUUGUUAAAAUUUAUAAAUGCGUAUCAUUCAUGUUUUUAGUUAGGAUGUUGUUUUUUUUUUUAUAUAUUUAAAAAUAAAGAUAAGCAUUAAUAAGUUACACAUAAUGUCUUGAAUAAAAUAGAGAUACUUACAUGCAUAUGUAUGUAUAAUUUUAUCCUUCUAAAAAAUAGAGAUAGUUAUAACUAUCCUUCAAAAUAGAGUGAGUUAUAUACAUACUCGCAAUGCUCCGCACGAGACGGAGGCUCCUUCCUGCUUUUGUUUUAUCAACUCACAACAGGUGACGAGCGCAAGAUGAAGAUCAUGGAGACAUGUCGUCAACAUGUGGAGCACUGCGAAGGACAUCCGAACUGUGCAAUUUGCUCAAUUUCGUAGGACUUCGACGUACAGAGAACAUGUGGAUGGCGUCAAUCUACAGGUACGAGCGAUUUUUUUUUUUCAUUUUGUAUUAUAUAUACAGGUCAAUAGAUGUCAACACUCAUUGGAGUGACAAAAAACACAACUACAUUUUUAACACAAUUUAAGUCUAUCAUCAAGGGGCAAUCAACAACAACAUAUUUGUCAAAUAUUCGACAUAAGAUUAAACUCAAUAAUUAUCCUAAUAUGAUCUAUUAGUUAACAAAGAUAAACUUUUAGUGGUUGUUUCAUUGUUAAAUUGAAUUAAUUAACUCAUCUGAUUUAGAGUUUUCUUAAACAGAAUAUUAUUUUCAACUACUUACAGUAACACACAUUUUCAAAACUGAUCUUUUUAAAUUCUCACAAGAAGUGAUGAUGAUCCACCACCUCUUCCUAUAUCAAGCUCCCCAUGCAUACAACAUUUUUUUUUUUUUUUAUAACCCAUGCAUACAACAUGUGUGCGUGAGAAGUAUUUCUACUUAAUUUUGGCCAUAUUUGGUGAUUAUUACCAGGCAUUCCAGUUAUAGAUACUCUAAAAUGUUGGGGAAAAUAAUUGAAGGUAAGAUUUCUAUGAAAUGUCAAAUGAACCUUCCUUUUCCGCUUCUUUAUUCCCACUAAGACUGCAGCGUCUUUAGGCCAAAUUAUGUAUUCAAGAUCUCUAUGAUGAAAGGCACCUAAUUAAUCAAAUCGGGUUAAAUGCUGGGCUUGGCCCUUCCCUUUUUAUUCUCUCUUAAUGUCUUCACUAAUCUACUAGAUCAUAAACCCCCUUUCAUUACCCCAACUUCACCCUUCCCU